CCCUUAGAUGUUCUGGACCGCACGCGCGCUACAAUGAUGAAUUCAACGAGUUUAUAACCUUGGUUGAAAAGCCUGGGUAAUCUUUUGAACUUUCGUCGUGAUGGGGCUAGACCCUUGCAAUUAUUGGUCUCCAACGAGGAAUUCCUAGUAAACGCAAGUCAUCAGCUUGCAUUGAUUACGUCCCUGCCCUUUGUACACACCGCCCGUCGCACCUACCGAUUGAAUGGUCCGGUGAAAUCUUCGGAUUGAGACUUUGAUUUCUUCACGGAAAACGCUGUUUUAAGAAGUUGAUUAAACCUUACCAUUUAGAGGAAGGUGAAGUCGUAACA
RNAcentral lists this ribosomal RNA (329 nucleotides) under uncultured eukaryote. Its description in RNAcentral is "partial 18S ribosomal RNA". It matches the Rfam family "Eukaryotic small subunit ribosomal RNA", at positions 1470 to 1796 of the family's 1831-position model. The record is from RNAcentral.